This is a long non-coding RNA of Cebus imitator (Panamanian white-faced capuchin), 702 nucleotides long. RefSeq lists it as uncharacterized. The record is from RefSeq and is a predicted model, not a curated record. The transcript has 3 exons. NCBI's taxonomy places the organism in Eukaryota, Metazoa, Chordata, Mammalia, Primates, Cebidae.
AAGUCAACUGUCUGACUCACGUCGCUGCUCCCAGAGCUCCUGGAGCUCCAACCCUCAGCUCGGUGGCUUAAGACUAACACUGUCCUAGCGUCUUGGAAGCCCCCUGGACCAUCAUGGACGCCAAACUUCGGGUAACACUUACGGUGGAGGACUUGAGUAUGUCUUCAUCAGCAGCAUGAAAACAGACUAAUACAGCUGGCUUCAUAGAUUGAAUUGAAAAUUGUUGCCUCCUUUAAAUGUUCUGGAGGCUGGGAAGUCAAAGAUGAAGACCUGGGAAGAGUCAGUGCAUGGUGAGGGCUGCUUCCUGAUUCAUGGAUGUUGCCUUUUCUUGGUGUCCUCACAGGUGGAAGGGGCAAGGAGCUCUCUGGGGUCCCUUUUGUAAGGACAUUCAUUUUAUAAUGAGGAUUUUGCCUUCACUGCAUGAUCACUUCCUAAUGGCUCUACCUCCAAACCCCAUCACAGUAGAGAUCAGAUUUCAGUUACAAGUUUAAGGGUGACAAAACAAUUCAGUCCCACAGGGUUAUCUUGUUGUUAUAGAUUUCUAACGUAUUUCCAGUAUGGCUAGAAAAUGUAUUCUGUGUUAUUUCAAUGUUUCAAUGUGUCUUAUGACCUGAAAUAUGGUUUCUCCUGGUAAAUGUAUCAUUCAUAUUUGAGAUAAUAUAUAUUUUUCAUUGAUGUGCCUACAUAUAUAAGUAAAUUAAG